RNAcentral lists this small nuclear RNA (144 nucleotides) under Rous sarcoma virus. The record is from RNAcentral. Lineage: Riboviria; Pararnavirae; Artverviricota; Revtraviricetes; Ortervirales; Retroviridae.
AAUGUAGUCUUAUGCAAUACUCCUGUAGUCUUGCAACAUGCUUAUGUAACGAUGAGUUAGCAAUAUGCCUUACAAGGAAAGAAAAGGCACCGUGCAUGCCGAUUGGUGGUAGUAAGGUGGUACGAUCGUGCCUUAUUAGGAAGG